RNAcentral lists this microRNA precursor (63 nucleotides) under Bombyx mori (domestic silkworm). RNAcentral's name for it is "mir-2774 microRNA precursor family". It matches the Rfam family "mir-2774 microRNA precursor family". The record is from Rfam by way of RNAcentral. Lineage: Eukaryota; Metazoa; Arthropoda; Insecta; Lepidoptera; Bombycidae.
AUAAAAUCGACCGUCGGUCUACCGAGCAAUAUCACCCGCUCGGUGGAAGAUCUUUCCUUUCGU